Molecule: ribosomal RNA, 484 nt
Filed under: uncultured bacterium
Lineage: Bacteria
Description: partial 16S ribosomal RNA
Rfam family: Bacterial small subunit ribosomal RNA
Source: RNAcentral
AUUGAACGCUGGCGGCAGGCCUAACACAUGCAAGUCGAGCGGAUGAGUGGAGCCUGCUCCAUGAUUCAGCGGCGGACGGGUGAGUAAUGCCUAGGAAUCUGCCUGGUAGUGGGGGACAACGUUUCGAAAGGAACGCUAAUACCGCAUACGUCCUACGGGAGAAAGUGGGGGAUCUUCGGACCUCACGCUAUCAGAUGAGCCUAGGUCGGAUUAGCUAGUUGGUGAGGUAAAGGCUCACCAAGGCGACGAUCCGUAACUGGUCUGAGAGGAUGAUCAGUCACACUGGAACUGAGGCACGGUCCAGACUCCUACGGGAGGCAGCAGUGGGGAAUAUUGGACAAUGGGCGAAAGCCUGAUCCAGCCAUGCCGCGUGUGUGAAGAAGGUCUUCGGAUUGUAAAGCACUUUAAGUUGGGAGGAAGGGCAGUAAGUUAAUACCUUGCUGUUUUGACGUUACCAACAGAAUAAGCACCGGCUAACUUCGUG